CCUACGGGAGGCAGCAGUGGGGAAUAUUGCACAAUGGGGGAAACCCUGAUGCAGCGACGCCGCGUGAGGGAGGAAGUUUUUCGGUAUGUAAAGCUCUAUCAGCAGGGAAGAAAAUGACGGUAACUAGACAAGAAGCCCCGGCUAACUACGUGCCAGCAGCCGCGGUAAUACGUAGGGGGCAAGCGUUAGCCGGAUUUACUGGGGGGAAAGGGAGCGCAGGCGGCGUGGCAAGUCAGAUGUGAAAACCCGGGGCCCAACCUCGGGAGUGCAUUUGAAACUGGCAUGCUGGAGUGCCGGAGAGGUAAGCGGAAUUCCAGGUGUAGCGGUGAAAUGCGUAGAUAUUAGGAGGAACACCAGUGGCGAAGGCGACUUACUGGAAGGUAACUGACGCUGAGGCUCGAAAGCGUGGGGAGCAAACAGGAUUAGAUACCCCUGUAGUC
This 440-nucleotide ribosomal RNA is filed under the name uncultured bacterium. RNAcentral describes it as "partial 16S ribosomal RNA". It matches the Rfam family "Bacterial small subunit ribosomal RNA", at positions 338 to 795 of the family's 1533-position model. The record is from RNAcentral.